GGGGUCAUAGCUCAGUUGACUAGAGCACUUGAUUUGCAUUCAAGAGGUCCAGGGUUUGAAUCCCUGUGGCUCCA
This 74-nucleotide transfer RNA is filed under the name Solobacterium sp. Its description in RNAcentral is "tRNA-Ala". It matches the Rfam family "tRNA". From Rfam's summary of the family: Transfer RNA (tRNA) molecules are approximately 80 nucleotides in length. Their secondary structure includes four short double-helical elements and three loops (D, anti-codon, and T loops). Further hydrogen bonds mediate the characteristic L-shaped molecular structure. tRNAs have two regions of fundamental functional importance: the anti-codon, which is responsible for specific mRNA codon recognition, and the 3' end, to which the tRNAs corresponding amino acid is attached (by aminoacyl-tRNA synthetases). tRNAs cope with the degeneracy of the genetic code in two manners: having more than one tRNA (with a specific anti-codon) for a particular amino acid; and 'wobble' base-pairing, i.e. permitting non-standard base-pairing at the 3rd anti-codon position. RNAcentral also lists the same sequence under 1 other name. The record is from RNAcentral. Lineage: Bacteria; Bacillati; Bacillota; Erysipelotrichia; Erysipelotrichales; Erysipelotrichaceae.